Long non-coding RNA from Astatotilapia calliptera (eastern happy), 1103 nucleotides. Lineage: Eukaryota; Metazoa; Chordata; Actinopteri; Cichliformes; Cichlidae. The record is from Ensembl.
UUAAACGCAUAUUUUGCUAAUCACAUUUAAUAACUCAGCACAGACUCGUCUUUAAUGUUAUUAGUACCUGUGUUUACUGUUUCACGCUGUAAAAUUUUGUGGUCCCGGCAGUUUACUGCAUCAUUGAAAAAUGCAACAUUUUCUUAAAAAACUGAGACUUUUCAAGAUCAAAGACCUCUAAGGCGCUCUCUGUUAUUUAAGAUUUUAAAUGCCUUCAUAUUCAUCAUAUCAGAGAAAUAUUUGUUGAGAAUAGCUUCCUAUCUCUCUCUGAACUAGAUGGACUGGACAGUUUCUGAUUCUAGACUCAAUUUGAAUCGAAGCAUUGCGCCUAUGGAAAUACUCUUCAGCUAAAAUAUAAGAAAUAUAUACAUAUAUAUAUAUAUUUAAAAGAAUAUUAUAUGCUAGAUCUGUAGUGAUUUGAUUAGGACUUUAAACAGGCUUAUGAGAUUUAUGAGCUUUCUUUUCUUUGUCAGCGGAUUCUGGUUUUUUUUUUUCCUGUUUUUUUUUCUUUCUUUCCAGUGAUUAAACAUCUUACUUUUCAUCAGUCUCUGUGCUUGAAAAACACUUUCCCCCCCAGAAAGUAAUUGAUGUGAUAAAAUGGCUCAUAAAUCUAAAAGCCACAGAAUGAAGUUAUCAACAGGUCCAGAUGAGCCACACUGCAUAUUUUGUUUCUAGCACGCAGCUAAAAAGAAGGUCCAACAGAUGGCAGUGCAACAUAGUAAACUGAACACUCUUGUUUAAACAGAAAUGAUCUUUGGUUAUAAAACUAAGAAAGCUACUGACUGAUGUUCUCACUUAAUUCUAUUAACUUACAUUGGACACUGGCAACAAAAUUCAUCUUAUUAUGUCUGAAACCGAUUAUUAAGUCUUUCUUUCUUCUGUGUGGUUUCCUUUCAUUGCUCUUAUCUUUCCCUUGCGUCCUCUCAUUUAGUUUGCUCUGCGGUUUGGGGAAAAUUGUUAGCACAUGUUGGUACUGGAGGUUAAUAAUCAGCCUUAUAUUGUGCACAUGCUACUGGUUAAUUGCACAGUAUGUAGUCGCAUCAAAACAGAUGGAUGAUGCGUGCUCUCCAUUCAUUUAAAGAUAAAGAACUAUUUUUUUGCGG